GGUUAAGCUGAAGAGGCGGAGCCGCAGCGAAAGCGAGUCUGAAUAGGGCGUUUAGUACGUGGUCGUAGACCCGAAACCAGGUGAUCUACCCAUGUCCAGGGUGAAGUUCAGGUAACACUGAAUGGAGGCCCGAACCCACGCACGUUGAAAAGUGCGGGGAUGAGGUGUGGGUAGCGGAGAAAUUCCAAUCGAACCUGGAGAUAGCUGGUUCUCCCCGAAAUAGCUUUAGGGCUAGCCUUAAGUGUAAGAGUCUUGGAGGUAGAGCACUGAUUGAACUAGGGGUCCUCAUCGGAUUACCGAAUUCAGUCAAACUCCGAAUGCCAAUGACUUAUCCUUAGGAGUCAGACUGCGAGUGAUAAGAUCCGUAGUCAAGAGGGAAACAGCCCAGAUCGCCAGCUAAGGUCCCAAAGUGUGUAUUAAGUGGAAAAGGAUGUGGAGUUGCUUAGACAACUAGGAUGUUGGCUCAGAAGCAGCCACCAUUUAAAGAGUGCGUAAUAGCUCACUAGUCGAGUGACUCUGCGCCGAAAAUGUACCGGGGCUAAAUACACCACCGAAGCUGCGAAUUGAUACCAAUGGUAUCAGUGGUAGGGGAGCGUUCUAAGUGCAGUGAAGUCAGACCGGAAGGACUGGUGGAGCGCUUAGAAGUGAGAAUGCCGGUAUGAGUAGCGAAAGACGGGUGAGAAUCCCGUCCACCGAAUGCCUAAGGUUUCCUGAGGAAGGCUCGUCCGCUCAGGGUUAGUCAGGACCUAAGCCGAGGCCGACAGGCGUAGGCGAUGGACAACAGGUUGAUAUUCCUGUACCACCUCUUUAUCGUUUGAGCAAUGGAGGGACGCAGAAGGAUAGAAGAAGCGUGCGAUUGGUUGUGCACGUCCAAGCAGUUAGGCUGAUAAGUAGGCAAAUCCGCUUAUCGUGAAGGCUGAGCUGUGAUGGGGAAGCUCCUUAUGGAGCGAAGUCUUUGAUUCCCCGCUGCCAAGAAAAGCUUCUAGCGAGAUAAAAGGUGCCUGUACCGCAAACCGACACAGGUAGGCGAGGAGAGAAUCCUAAGGUGUGCGAGAGAACUCUGGUUAAGGAACUCGGCAAAAUGACCCCGUAACUUCGGGAGAAGGGGUGCUUUCUUAACGGAAAGCCGCAGUGAAUAGGCCCAAGCGACUGUUUAGCAAAAACACAGGUCUCUGCGAAGCCGUAAGGCGAAGUAUAGGGGCUGACACCUGCCCGGUGCUGGAAGGUUAAGGAGAGGGGUUAGCGUAAGCGAAGCUCUGAACUGAAGCCCCAGUAAACGGCGGCCGUAACUAUAACGGUCCUAAGGUAGCGAAAUUCCUUGUCGGGUAAGUUCCGACCCGCACGAAAGGUGUAACGAUUUGGGCACUGUCUCAACCAGAGACUCGGUGAAAUUAUAGUACCUGUGAAGAUGCAGGUUACCCGCGACAGGACGGAAAGACCCCGUGGAGCUUUACUGUAGCCUGAUAUUGAAUUUUGGUACAGUUUGUACAGGAUAGGCGGGAGCCAUUGAAACCGGAGCGCUAGCUUCGGUGGAGGCGCUGGUGGGAUACCGCCCUGACUGUAUUGAAAUUCUAACCUACGGGUCUUAUCGACCCGGGAGACAGUGUCAGGUGGGCAGUUUGACUGGGGCGGUCGCCUCCUAAAGUGUAACGGAGGCGCCCAAAGGUUCCCUCAGAAUGGUUGGAAAUCAUUCGUAGAGUGCAAAGGCAUAAGGGAGCUUGACUGCGAGACCUACAAGUCGAGCAGGGACGAAAGUCGGGCUUAGUGAUCCGGUGGUUCCGCAUGGAAGGGCCAUCGCUCAACGGAUAAAAGCUACCCCGGGGAUAACAGGCUUAUCUCCCCCAAGAGUCCACAUCGACGGGGAGGUUUGGCACCUCGAUGUCGGCUCAUCGCAUCCUGGGGCUGUAGUCGGUCCCAAGGGUUGGGCUGUUCGCCCAUUAAAGCGGUACGCGAGCUGGGUUCAGAACGUCGUGAGACAGUUCGGUCCCUAUCCGUCGUGGGCGCAGGAAAUUUGAGAGGAGCUGUCCUUAGUACGAGAGGACCGGGAUGGACGCACCGCUGGUGUACCAGUUGUUCUGCCAAGGGCAUAGCUGGGUAGCUAUGUGCGGAAGGGAUAAGUGCUGAAAGCAUCUAAGCAUGAAGCCCCCCUCAAGAUGAGAUUUCCCAUAGCGUAAGCUAGUAAGAUCCCUGAAAGAUGAUCAGGUUGAUAGGUUCGAGGUGGAAGCAUGGUGACAUGUGGAGCUGACGAAUACUAAUAGAUCGAGGACUUAACCA
This 2274-nucleotide ribosomal RNA is filed under the name Bacillus mycoides KBAB4. RNAcentral's name for it is "23S ribosomal RNA (partial)". It matches the Rfam family "Bacterial large subunit ribosomal RNA", at positions 644 to 2925 of the family's 2925-position model. Lineage: Bacteria; Bacillati; Bacillota; Bacilli; Caryophanales; Bacillaceae. The record is from RNAcentral.